CGCCUUAUACUCCUACGGGAGGCAGCAGUGGGGAAUUUUGGACAAUGGGGGCAACCCUGAUCCAGCCAUGCCGCGUGUGUGAAGAAGGUCUUCGGAUUGUAAAGCACUUUAAGUUGGGAGGAAGGGUUGUAGAUUAAUACUCUGCAAUUUUGACGUUACCGACAGAAUAAGCACCGGCUAACUCUGUGCCAGCAGCCGCGGUAAUACAGAGGGUGCAAGCGUUAAUCGGAAUUACUGGGCGAAAAGCGCGCGUAGGUGGUUUGUUAAGUUGGAUGUGAAAUCCCCGGGCUCAACCUGGGAACUGCAUUCAAAACUGACUGACUAGAGUAUGGUAGAGGGUGGUGGAAUUUCCUGUGUAGCGGUGAAAUGCGUAGAUAUAGGAAGGAACACCAGUGGCGAAGGCGACCACCUGGACUAAUACUGACACUGAGGUGCGAAAGCGUGGGGAGCAAACAGGAUUAGAUACCCUUGUAGUCCACGUACCA
RNAcentral lists this ribosomal RNA (485 nucleotides) under uncultured bacterium. RNAcentral's name for it is "bacterial SSU rRNA". It matches the Rfam family "Bacterial small subunit ribosomal RNA", at positions 327 to 804 of the family's 1533-position model. The record is from RNAcentral.